CCUACGGGAGGCAGCAGUGAGGAAUAUUGGUCAAUGGGCGAGAGCCUGAACCAGCCAAGUCGCGUUAAGGAUGACGGCCCUACGGGUUGUAAACUUCUUUUGUCAGGGAGCAAUUGGGUCCACGCGUGGGCUUAGCGAGAGUACCUGAAGAAAAAGCAUCGACUAACUCCGUGCCAGCAGGCACGGUAAUACGAAGGAUGCGAGCGUUAUCUGGAUUUAUUGGGUUAAAGGGGUGCGUAGGCGGAAUAUCAAGUCAGCGGGAAAAAUUAGGGGCUCAACCCAGUCGUGCCGUUGAAACUGGUGAUCUAGAGUGGGCGAGAAGGAGGUGGAAUGCGUGGUGUAGCGGUGAAAUGCAUAGAGAUGACGAAGAACUCCGAUGGCGAAGGCAGCAUACCGGCGCCCAACUGACGCUGAAGCACGAAAGCGUGGGUAUCGAACAGGAUUAGAUACCCCAGUAGUC
This 460-nucleotide ribosomal RNA is filed under the name uncultured bacterium. RNAcentral describes it as "partial 16S ribosomal RNA". It matches the Rfam family "Bacterial small subunit ribosomal RNA", at positions 338 to 795 of the family's 1533-position model. The record is from RNAcentral.